RNAcentral lists this ribosomal RNA (481 nucleotides) under uncultured bacterium. RNAcentral describes it as "partial 16S ribosomal RNA". It matches the Rfam family "Bacterial small subunit ribosomal RNA", at positions 29 to 523 of the family's 1533-position model. The record is from RNAcentral.
ACGAACGCUGGCGGCGCGCCUAACACAUGCAAGUCGAACGAGAGAGAGGGAGCUUGCUUCCUUGAUCGAGUGGCGAACGGGUGAGUAACGCGUGAGGAACCUGCCUCAAAGAGGGGGACAACAGUUGGAAACGACUGCUAAUACCGCAUAAGCCCACGACCCGGCAUCGGGAAGAGGGAAAAGGAGCAAUCCGCUUUGAGAUGGCCUCGCGUCCGAUUAGCUAGUUGGUGAGGUAACGGCCCACCAAGGCGACGAUCGGGAGCCGGACUGGGAGGUUGAACGGCCACAUUGGGACUGAGACACGGCCCAGACUCCUACUGGAGGCAGCAGUGGGGAAUAUUGCACAAUGGGGGAAACCCUGAUGCAGCGACGCCGCGUGGAGGAAGAAGGUCUUCGGAUUGUAAACUCCUGUUGUUGAGGAAGAUAAUGACGGUACUCAACAAGGAAGUGACGGCUAACUACGUGCCAGCAGCCGCCGUAA